GGCUCAGAUUGAACGCUGGCGGAAUGCUUUACACAUGCAAGUCGAACGGUAGAGGGGGCAACCCCUCGAGAGUGGCGAACGGGUGAGUAAUAUAUCGGAACGUGCCCAGUCGGUGGGGGAUAACGUAGCGAAAGUUACGCUAAUACCGCAUACGAUCUAAGGAUGAAAGCGGGGGGACUCGCAAGAGCCUCGCGCGAUUGGAGCGGCCGAUAUCAGAUUAGGUAGUUGGUGGGGUAAAGGCUCACCAAGCCAACGAUCUGUAGCUGGUCUGAGAGGACGAUCAGCCACACUGGGACUGAGACACGGCCCAGACUCCUACGGGAGGCAGCAGUGGGGAAUUUUGGACAAUGGGGGAAACCCUGAUCCAGCCAUUCCGCGUGUGCGAUGAAGGCCUUCGGGUUGUAAAGCACUUUUGGCAGGAAAGAAAUCGCAUCAAUUAAUACUUGGUGUGGAUGACGGUACCUGCAGAAUAAGCACCGGCUAACUACGUG
RNAcentral lists this ribosomal RNA (491 nucleotides) under uncultured bacterium. RNAcentral's name for it is "bacterial SSU rRNA". It matches the Rfam family "Bacterial small subunit ribosomal RNA", at positions 21 to 507 of the family's 1533-position model. The record is from RNAcentral.